RNAcentral lists this ribosomal RNA (497 nucleotides) under uncultured bacterium. Its description in RNAcentral is "partial 16S ribosomal RNA". It matches the Rfam family "Bacterial small subunit ribosomal RNA", at positions 28 to 507 of the family's 1533-position model. The record is from RNAcentral.
GAUGAACGCUGGCGGCGUGCCUAACACAUGCAAGUCGAGCGAACAGACGAGGAGUUUGCUCCUCUGACGUUAGCGGCGGAGGGGUGAGUAACAUGUGGAUAACCUACCUAUAAGACUGGGAUAACGUCGGGAAACCGGGGCUAAUACCGAAUAAUAUAUUGAACCGCAUGGUGCAAUAGUGAAAUACGGUUUUGGUGUCAGUUAUAGAUGGAUCCGCGCCGCAUUAGCUAGUUGGUAAGGUAACGGCUUACCAAGGCAACGAUGCGUAGCCGACCUGAGAGGGUGAUCGGCCACACUGGAACUGAGACACGGUCCAGACUCCUACGGGAGGCAGCAGUAGGGAAUCUUCCGCAAUGGGCGAAAGCCUGACGGAGCAACGCCGCGUGAGUGAUGAAGGUCUUCGGAUCGUAAAACUCUGUUAUUAGGGAAGAACAAAUGUGUAAGUAACCAUGCAGGUCUUGACGGUACCGGAUCAGAGAGCCACGGCUAACUACGUG